RNAcentral lists this transfer RNA (77 nucleotides) under Fibrobacter sp. UWH3. RNAcentral describes it as "tRNA-Pro". It matches the Rfam family "tRNA". Rfam says of the family: Transfer RNA (tRNA) molecules are approximately 80 nucleotides in length. Their secondary structure includes four short double-helical elements and three loops (D, anti-codon, and T loops). Further hydrogen bonds mediate the characteristic L-shaped molecular structure. tRNAs have two regions of fundamental functional importance: the anti-codon, which is responsible for specific mRNA codon recognition, and the 3' end, to which the tRNAs corresponding amino acid is attached (by aminoacyl-tRNA synthetases). tRNAs cope with the degeneracy of the genetic code in two manners: having more than one tRNA (with a specific anti-codon) for a particular amino acid; and 'wobble' base-pairing, i.e. permitting non-standard base-pairing at the 3rd anti-codon position. RNAcentral also lists the same sequence under 1 other name. Lineage: Bacteria; Pseudomonadati; Fibrobacterota; Fibrobacteria; Fibrobacterales; Fibrobacteraceae. The record is from RNAcentral.
CGGAAUAUAGCUCAGUCUGGUAGAGCGCUUGCUUCGGGAGCAAGAGGUCGUGAGUUCGAAUCUCGCUAUUCCGACUA